GACGAACGCUGGCGGCGUGCUUAACACGUGCAAGUCGAGCGGUAAGGCCCUUUCGGGGGUACACGAGCGGCGAACGGGUGAGUAACACGUGGGUGACCUGCCCUCAGCUCUGGGAUAAGCCUGGGAAACCGGGUCUAAUACCGGAUAUGACUCCAUGACGCAUGUUGUGGGGUGGAAAGCCUUGUGCGGCUGAGGAUGGGCCCGCGGCCUAUCAGCUUGUUGGUGGGGUGAUGGCCUACCAAGGCGACGACGGGUAGCCGGCCUGAGAGGGCGACCGGCCACACUGGGACUGAGACACGGCCCAGACUCCUACGGGAGGCAGCAGUGGGGAAUCUUGCGCAAUGGGCGAAAGCCUGACGCAGCGACGCCGCGUGAGGGAUGACGGCCUGG
RNAcentral lists this ribosomal RNA (390 nucleotides) under uncultured bacterium. RNAcentral's name for it is "bacterial SSU rRNA". It matches the Rfam family "Bacterial small subunit ribosomal RNA", at positions 28 to 419 of the family's 1533-position model. The record is from RNAcentral.